RNAcentral lists this ribosomal RNA (588 nucleotides) under uncultured bacterium. RNAcentral's name for it is "bacterial SSU rRNA". It matches the Rfam family "Bacterial small subunit ribosomal RNA", at positions 334 to 921 of the family's 1533-position model. The record is from RNAcentral.
GCUUCCUACGGGAGGCAGCAGUGGGGAAUCUUGCGCAAUGGUCGAAAGACUGACGCAGCGACGCCGCGUGUGGGAUGACGCCUUUCGGGGUGUAAACCACUGUUGCCCGGGACGAACAGCGUCUUUCGAGACGCCUGACGGUACCGGGUGAGGAAGCACCGGCUAACUCCGUGCCAGCAGCCGCGGUAAUACGGAGGGUGCGAGCGUUGUCCGGAAUCGCUGGGCGUAAAGGGCGCGUAGGCGGCCCGGAUAGUCAACGGUGAAAGCUUGGGGCUCAACCCCGAGUCGGCCGUCGAUACUGCCGGGCUCGAGCACUGUAGAGGCAGGUGGAAUUCCGGGUGUAGCGGUGGAAUGCGUAGAGAUCCGGACGAACACCGGUGGCGAAGGCGGCCUGCUGGGCAGUAGCUGACGCUGAGGCGCGACAGCGUGGGGAGCAAACAGGAUUAGAUACCCUGGUAGUCCACGCCGUAAACGAUGGGCACUAGGUGCUUGGGGGAGCGACCCCCUGAGUGCCGGCGCUAACGCAUUAAGUGCCCCGCCUGGGGAGUACGGCCGCAAGGCUGAAACUCAAAGGAAUUGACGGAAGCC